CACCAACAAAGACAAUACCUUCGACCUCCAACGCCCAACCAUAUUGAUCCUCGCAAUGCCCGAAUGGGCCCAGCCUCAAGUCGGUCUCUGUUUCGAUCCUUGGAAACCCACGCGAAAUACAGUCAGAACUCGAUCCUGUCGAGAUACACAGCCAAAACGCGCUGGCCCGAACGACGACGACAGCCAUUCCCAUCGAGUCUUUCAACCCUCUCUCUGAGCACGACGCCUCCCCUACAGUUCUCCGAUUCCGGUUUUCCCGUAAAGGAAUGUCCUUCGUGGCCGCUCGGAUGUCCGGUUCUUCCGCAGUACGUCGCAGCUUCGAGUCCUGCAUCAGGAGCCUUCUCAAGCUUUGCCGCGCAUGGGAUUACUGCGGAUUUCGGGAUUUAUCCUACCCUUGCCGGCGCCCAGAGUGAAUUGGUCUCGGAACUUAACCCUACGUAUACGCUGGUUACACAUUACAAGUCUUGCGCGCUUCGGCAGUCAAAUCGACCCUUCGCCUUCUACGUCCGCGUUAUCGUGGUGUUUACUUUCGGGGUCUAUGGCGCCGCUGAAAAGUUGCGUCCUCUAGAUUCUUGGUAUUCUGCUUGAUGGCAAGGACUGACCGGCAAGGAGAGAAGUUCCAGUCAUCUUGGUUGCACUUCGGUGCGCCUGAUGGGCGAGGUGUCUGGUCCCAUGAGUCAAAAGCUGGUGAGAACCUCUGGCCUGAGGUCGCUCGUCAGGACUGGAUCACUGGACGCAGUACUCUGGUCACCAUAGCGGAUUGCUUUGCAGAUGUCCCGUGGCUAGGUACACCGCGUUGGGGAAGGAUACAUUUUGGGUGCCCUGCCAUGCCUGUCAUCCGGAAGUUCUUUCUGGCUCUGACUCUUGGAGCUUUACGUUUCGCGACGCAUGCUCUGUGGAGUGACGAGGGGAGAGCGAAGAUACGGCUACAUACGAUCACAUCCCUCAUUUCAUCUUUCGCGUCUUCAGCUUGCCUCGCCUGAAUCACUGCACUUGUGUGGUGAGCUGGGGCUGUACGACUACAAACGGAAAUGUUGGGAAGGAUUCUUUUCACGCCUGUCUGUCGCGCUCUCUGCACCCUCAGAUCUCUCUUGUAUCGCAUGCGCAGGAGCGGAUACCCACUUGUACGCUUUUCUCCCGGAUAACCUCCACUGACUCUGUGGAACCGCGUUCGGCAACAUACCGUCAACGUGUCAUUGGCUGUUGUGUCAUUGAGAUCCCCGGCCAGGCGCAUCAACCGAUUUACACGUAUGGCUUUGUCCUACGUCGCGAAUUGGACGCCAGAACCACGUUUGUUUCAAAUCUUUGAUCCGAAAGGAGAGGAGCUCUUUGGCAGACACUUUCCUUUCGACUGGAGUGCGCUGAAAAGUUCACUUUCGGGAGAAAGAUGAUAGCACGGUUUUUGAGGACGCAUUUUGUCCGUGCGGAAAUGCCCUCCUUCACACUUUCUCGGUUGGUACGAGAGUGCGGAGAGGAUACAAAAGCUAGUCUCAGUUGGCCGUGCUCUACACACGGAAAGACUCGUGGGACGGCUAUCUCGACGAUCCGGCUAUCGAUUUGGCUGCCGACACUUGACGACUGCUGUGUUAAUGACGGUGCGGUUUCUUUUGGGGGAUUGAGCAGGUCCGCCAUGGCUUGCUGGUUUGGACUGUGAGAGUGGUGGUUGGGUGUUUAGUGUCCUGUGGGAGUGUCCAUUCUGGGGGUGUCCGCGUCCGUGUUGGUGUCCGUGUCCGUUCGGGGGAAGAAGCGUGUCUUUGGGCCACACUCGUUGAGAACCAAUGCUUUUGCAGCCCCUGGAUUUUCAGAGGAUGGUGGUUGUGGACUCUGGGGAAGAGAACCAAAAGUCGGGACCCAUCUCGAGUUGGAGUCAAAGUUUCGUACUUGUCUGGCCUUCGGAUCCUCUCUUUCUUGGUCUUCGCUUCUGGCCGAAUCUGCGUCCUUGCGGAGGCUAGCUUUGUUGUUUGGAGUUCUGGCCCUUUAGGAUAGGGGACUGGCUUCCUGGAAGGUGGUCCCCGGUUGUUCCUCGUUCCUGAAAGAUGGCGGGAGGAACAACCCCUCUGCACUUUUUGAGG
This is a non-coding RNA of Sordaria macrospora k-hell, 2072 nucleotides long. It matches the Rfam family "Ascomycota telomerase RNA". The record is from Rfam. NCBI's taxonomy places the organism in Eukaryota, Fungi, Ascomycota, Sordariomycetes, Sordariales, Sordariaceae.